AGUGGAGCAAUCCAUGAGUAAAGUGGCGCACGGGUGAGUAACACGUGACUAACCUACCCUUGAGUGGGGAAUAACCUAGGGAAACCUGGGCUAAUACCGCAUAACGCCUACGGGUCAAAGGAGCAAUUCGCUUAAGGAGGGGGUCGCGGCAGAUUAGCUAGUUGGCGGGGUAAUGGCCCACCAAGGCGGUGAUCUGUAUCCGGCCUGAGAGGGCGCACGGACACACUGGAACUGAAACACGGUCCAGACUCCUACGGGAGGCAGCAGUGGGGAAUUUUGCGCAAUGGGAGAAACCCUGACGCAGCAACGCCGCGUGGAGGAUGAAGUCCCUUGGGACGUAAACUCCCUCCGAUCGGGACGAUUAUGACGGUACCGGAAGAAGAAGCCCCGGCUAACUUCGUGCCAGUAGCCGCGGUAAUACGAGGGGGGCAAGCGUCGUUCGGAAUUAUUGGGCGUAAAGGGUGCGUAGGCGGUUCGGUAAGUCUUAUGUGAAAUCUUCGGGCUCAACUCG
This 511-nucleotide ribosomal RNA is filed under the name uncultured bacterium. RNAcentral describes it as "bacterial SSU rRNA". It matches the Rfam family "Bacterial small subunit ribosomal RNA", at positions 73 to 616 of the family's 1533-position model. The record is from RNAcentral.